Paramacrobiotus metropolitanus is the source of this 1895-nucleotide long non-coding RNA. RefSeq lists it as uncharacterized. The transcript is spliced from 3 exons. The record is from RefSeq and is a predicted model, not a curated record. Lineage: Eukaryota; Metazoa; Tardigrada; Eutardigrada; Parachela; Macrobiotidae.
GCUGUCAGCGAGAAAGUGCGGGCCAUCCACGCCCACUGGCUGGGCAACCUGCAGUAUCCCGCGGAGUGGCAGCGCAUCCGCCAUCUACUGUCCAUAUUCAGCGGAUUCCAGGUGGAUGGGACGCCGUUAGCGUGGGACGAGGUCGACCUCCGUGAGAUGGAUACUGGCCGGCUCAGCACGAUGGCCUUGGUGGCUAUAAGUGAGGCGUUCCAAGCGUCAGCGUAGCCUAAAAGCGCCGCGCUGCGGCUGCGGCUGCGGCUGCGGCUGCGGCUGCGGCUGCGGCUGCGGCUGCGGCUGCGGCUGCGGCUGCGGCUGCGGCUGGGCAGACCUUUCGCGAACGGCGCGAACGCUUUCGUCUAAGUUAGCGUUAACGUUACUGGGCCAGACAACAGCUGCCCGCAGCACUGCCGCCCGCAAUAAUUAUAUAGACGAGCAUGCUGCACAUACAAUUACCCGCAUCGGUUCCAUCACUCGGUAAUUUCCCAAUAAUGAGCAGCUGCGUAUAGCUGUCCCGCCUCCGAUUAUCCGGGAGCAUCGGUGUACAUGUGCGGGUUUUGUAGUAUAGAUAGAUUUUGUAGUAUUAAGAGCUGCGUGAAUCUGAUUGGAUCCGGCUGUCGGCUGGUUGUCAUACACGGUAAUUUCCACAGUGAAAUCUAAGGACAAUGAAAGACUGGGAAGGGGAUGAGCCCCACGGUGUGCUGCUGCUUAGGGUAGAUGUUGUCCUGCCCCUACGGCCCACGGGAUGGCGGUUAUCCCUGCCGUUCAUGCCUUGACCUACUCUGCUACUCAGUACUUGUACAGAUUCAGCGACUUGUGCUCUCCUCUGGCAGUCUGGCUGGCCUGGCCUCUCCACGCCCAUAAAUAAAACAAACGGAUACUGAAGUUGGAUACACGAAAUUCAAUAAUGGCGUGCAAAUUAGUGUACAAUCAAGUCAAAAUUAUAAAGUCAAGCUCAGCACACCCGUCGCCGUAACACACAGCCACCUGCAUAAUAUUAUACGAAACUUUACAGAUGCCGAAAAAAAGCUCUUGCCCCCAUUGUGCUGCAGCUUGCCGGGAAUGGAAUGAUUAUUCUAUUGUCUUGUAUGCCUGACAUGUCUACGGUCCCUGUCUUGGCAAUAAUCAGCGCAAAACUCCUCUUAAUUCCUCACUUGCAGGACGUACGGGGAUUCCUUUCCGGGCACGGGCACAGGCAGUAUACCGUCGCCGGAAAGGCCAUUUGGCAGUCCACAUGCACAGCGCUAGCACCAACUCUCUACAAAUUAAAUUCCGCCUCCAUUAUUUCCUACCAUAAGCACUCCACUUCUCCUACCAACUACUACUGUUAAUCAACCACAGCACAAACGGUUUUCACGCGAAUGUAUACGAAUCAUGUAGCUACAGAAUGGUGGUAUUCGAAAUUGAAUACGCUGAAUAUUUUCGCCGCGAUUAUCAGCGGACGUGAUUGUUGAUGCAUAAAAAUAUGAACCAGUAAACAAAAACUGAUCAUGCAUCACACAUUCCUUCACACACUUCCAAACACAAAAUCAUACAAAAAUGUGUUGGGUCAGUUGGGAGUGCGCGAAAGUGAAAGUUUUCGUGCAUGUACACGAAUUCGGUAUCAUCACCGGGUCAUUGCCCUUAAUUAAGGUGUUAUUUUGUGUAUCGGCUACCGGUAAGGCUAUUGGCAUAAGCCAAUAGCCUUACCGUGAGAGCAUAUCAGAACUACACAAAGACAUCGGAAUCGCACAAAAAUCGUUUAAACCUUAACCUGACAAAGGCUAAAACAUUAUACGAAACUGAUUACGAGAAGUUAUUUUUCAAAAUUUAACAAAAUCUUAUAAUAAAUUUUAUUUUUCACAUCGUUGCGAACUUGCGAGUGCCGGUAAAACUGCCGGAAUAAGUAUCGCAAGUGU